GUGAGGAAUUUUCCGCAAUGGGCGAAAGCCUGACGGAGCAAUGCCGCGUGAAGGAUGAAGGCCUUUGGGUUGUAAACUUCUUUUCUUAGAGAAGAAUAUUGACGGUAUCUGAGGAAUAAGCAUCGGCUAACUCUGUGCCAGCAGCCGCGGUAAGACAGAGGAUGCAAGCGUUAUCCGGAAUGAUUGGGCGUAAAGCGUCUGUAGGUGGCUUCAAAAGUCUCCUGUCAAAGAUCAGGGCGUAACCCUGGGCCGGCAGGAGAAACUCUGAGGCUAGAGUUUGGUAGGGGCAGAGGGAAUUCCCGGUGGAGCGGUGAAAUGCGUAGAGAUCGGGAGGAACACCAAAGGCGAAAGCACUCUGCUGGGCCACAACUGACACUGAGAGACGAAAGCGAGGGGAGCAAAAGGGAUUAGAAACCCUGGUAGUCC
Molecule: ribosomal RNA, 426 nt
Filed under: uncultured bacterium
Lineage: Bacteria
Description: partial 16S ribosomal RNA
Rfam family: Bacterial small subunit ribosomal RNA
Source: RNAcentral